RNAcentral lists this ribosomal RNA (254 nucleotides) under uncultured bacterium. RNAcentral's name for it is "partial 16S ribosomal RNA". It matches the Rfam family "Bacterial small subunit ribosomal RNA", at positions 526 to 779 of the family's 1533-position model. The record is from RNAcentral.
CGGAGGGGGUUAGCGUUGUUCGGAAUGACUGGGCGUAAAGCGCGCGUAGGCGGAUCGGAAAGUUGGGGGUGAAAGCCCAGGGCUCAACCCUGGAAUUGCCUUCAAGACUCCCGGUCUUGAGUUCGAGAGAGGUGAGUGGAAUUCCGAGUGUAGAGGUGAAAUUCGUAGAUAUUCGGAGGAACACCAGUGGCGAAGGCGGCUCACUGGCUCGACACUGACGCUGAGGCGCGAAAGCGUGGGGAGCAAACAGGAUU